GAGUUUGAUCAUGGCUCAGGAUGAACGCUAGCUACAGGCUUAACACAUGCAAGUCGAGGGGCAGCAUAUUUAUAGCAAUAUAAAUGAUGGCGACCGGCGCACGGGUGAGUAACACGUAUCCAACCUCCCUUUUACUCGGGGAUAGCCUUUCGAAAGAAAGAUUAAUACCCGAUAGUAUAUGGUUUUCUCAUGAAGACUUUAUUAAAGAAUUUCGGUAAAAGAUGGGGAUGCGUUCCAUUAGGCAGUUGGCGGGGUAACGGCCCACCAAACCUACGAUGGAUAGGGGUUCUGAGAGGAAGGUCCCCCACAUUGGAACUGAGACACGGUCCAAACUCCUACGGGAGGCAGCAGUGAGGAAUAUUGGUCAAUGGGCGAGAGCCUGAACCAGCCAAGUAGCGUGAAGGAUGACUGCCCUAUGGGUUGUAAACUUCUUUUAUAAGGGAAUAAAGUGGAGUAUGUAUACUCCUUUGUAUGUACCUUACGAAUAAGGAUCGGCUAACUCCGUGUCAGCAGUAGCGGUAA
RNAcentral lists this ribosomal RNA (522 nucleotides) under uncultured Bacteroides sp. RNAcentral's name for it is "bacterial SSU rRNA". It matches the Rfam family "Bacterial small subunit ribosomal RNA", at positions 9 to 523 of the family's 1533-position model. Lineage: Bacteria; Pseudomonadati; Bacteroidota; Bacteroidia; Bacteroidales; Bacteroidaceae. The record is from RNAcentral.